CUCAUUUCCGACCUCGGUACAUCGCGCUGUCAAGGAUGGAGUGGGCUUCCCAUAAAUGUUGUUGACCGUCUCUGCUUGCUGUGAGUCAACUGGCCAGAGAGGGUCGGCCUGACCAACAGGACGAACACACUUAUUCCAGCAGCUGUCAGCGUCCAGGGGACACUGUGUUCUUUGGACCCGUUACCAAACCAGCCAGGGGGAGAGGACUCACAUCAAAGCAAGAACUAAGGAGGGAGAGCCAGGCCUAUCUCUUGGCAGCAGACUCUCAGCCUGACCUUCUCAAACUGGAGAACAGUCCUUCCAUCAGACUCUCCCACACUCAGAGCAGCAAGGGGCUUUCUUCCCAGAAUAUUCUCCAAAGACAGGAAGUGUG
This 373-nucleotide long non-coding RNA is filed under the name Equus caballus (horse). Its description in RNAcentral is "lncRNA (ENSECAG00000051093.1)". Lineage: Eukaryota; Metazoa; Chordata; Mammalia; Perissodactyla; Equidae. The record is from RNAcentral.